GGGCCCGCACAAGCGGUGGAGCAUGUGGUUUAAUUCGAUGAUACGCGAGGAACCUUACCAGGGCUUAAAUGUAGUAUGACCGGUCUAGAAAUAGGCCUUCCCUUCGGGGCAGAUUACAAGGUGCUGCAUGGUUGUCGUCAGCUCGUGCCGUGAGGUGUUAGGUUAAGUCCUGCAACGAGCGCAACCCCUAUUCUUAGUUGCCAGCGGUUCGGCCGGGGACUCUAAGAAGACUGCCAGCGCAAGCUGAGAGGAAGGUGGGGAUGACGUCAAAUCAUCACGGCCCUUACGUCCUGGGCUACACACGUGCUACAAUGGUACAGACAGAGGGCAGCCACCUGGCGACAGGGAGCGAAUCCUUAAAAGUGCGUCGUAGUCCGGAUUGGAGUCUGCAACUCGACUCCAUGAAGUCGGAAUUGCUAGUAAUCG
RNAcentral lists this ribosomal RNA (426 nucleotides) under uncultured bacterium. RNAcentral's name for it is "bacterial SSU rRNA". It matches the Rfam family "Bacterial small subunit ribosomal RNA", at positions 917 to 1344 of the family's 1533-position model. The record is from RNAcentral.